Molecule: ribosomal RNA, 253 nt
Filed under: uncultured bacterium
Lineage: Bacteria
Description: partial 16S ribosomal RNA
Rfam family: Bacterial small subunit ribosomal RNA
Source: RNAcentral
UACGGAGGAUCCAAGCGUUAUCCGGAAUCAUUGGGUUUAAAGGGUCCGUAGGCGGUUUAAUAAGUCAGUGGUGAAAGCCCAUCGCUCAACGGUGGAACGGCCAUUGAUACUGUUAAACUUGAAUUAUUAGGAAGUAACUAGAAUAUGUAGUGUAGCGGUGAAAUGCUUAGAGAUUACAUGGAAUACCAAUUGCGAAGGCAGGUUACUACUAAUGGAUUGACGCUGAUGGACGAAAGCCAGGGGAGCAAACGGG